This 460-nucleotide ribosomal RNA is filed under the name uncultured bacterium. Its description in RNAcentral is "partial 16S ribosomal RNA". It matches the Rfam family "Bacterial small subunit ribosomal RNA", at positions 338 to 795 of the family's 1533-position model. The record is from RNAcentral.
CCUACGGGAGGCAGCAGUGAGGAAUAUUGGUCAAUGGGCGAGAGCCUGAACCAGCCAAGUCGCGUGAAGGAUGACGGCCCUACGGGUUGUAAACUUCUUUUGUCAGGGAGCAAUUGGGUCCACGCGUGGGCUUAGCGAGAGUACCUGAAGAAAAAGCAUCGGGUAACUCCGUGCCAGCAGCCGCGGUAAUACGGGGAAUGCGAGCGUUAGCCGGAUUUAUGGGGUUUAAAGGCUGCGUAGGUGGAAUAUCAAGGCAGUGGUAAAAAUUCGGGGCCCAACCCCGUCGUGCCGUUGAAACUGGUGUUCUUGAGUGGGCGAGAGGUAUGCGGAAUGCGUGGUGUAGCGGUGAAAUGCAUAGAUAUCACGAAGAACUCCGAUUGCGAAGGCAGCAUACCGGCGCCCAACUGACGCUGAGGCACGAAAGCGUGGGUAUCGAACAGGAUUAGAUACCCCGGUAGUC